UCUGGUUGAUCCUGCCAGUAGUUAUAUGCUUGUCUCAAAGAUAAGCCAUGCAUGUCUAAGUACACACGAAUUAAAAUGAAACCGCAAAAGGCUCAUUAUAUCAGUUAUGGUUCCUUAGAUCGUUACAGUUACUUGGAUAACUGUGGUAAUUCUAGAGCUAAUACAUGCAAUUAAAACAUGAACCUUAUGGGACAUGUGCUUUUAUUAGGCUAAACCAAGCGAUCGCAAGAUCGUUAUAUUGGUUGAACUCUAGAUAACAUGCAGAUCGUAUGGUCUUGUACCGACGACAGAUCUUUAAAUGUCUGCCCUAUCAACUUUUGAUGGUAGUAUCUAGGACUACCAUGGUUGCAACGGUAACGGGGAAUCAGGGUUCGAUUCCGGAGAGGGAGCCUGAGAAAGGCUACCAAUCUAAGGAAGGCAGCAGGCGCGUAAAUUACCCAUCCCAGCUGGGGAGGUAGUGACGAAAAUAACAUACAGGACUCAUAUCCGAGGCCCUGUAAUUGGAAUGAGUACACUUUAAAUCCUUUAACAAGGACCAAUUGGAGGGCAAGUCUGGUGCCAGCAGCCGCGGUAUUCCAGCCUCCAAUAGCGUUAUUAAAGUUGUUGCGGUUAAAACGUUCGUAGUUGAACUUGUGCUUCAUACGGGUAGUACAACUUACAAUUGUGGUUAGUACUAUACCUUUAUGUAUGUAAGCGUACCGGUGGAGUUCUUAUAUGUGAUUAAAUACUUGUAUUUUUUUCAUAUGUUCCUCCUAUUUAAAAACCUGCAUUAGUGCUCUUAAACGAGUGUUAUUGUGGGCCGUACUAUUACUUUGAACAAAUUAGAGUGCUUAAAGCAGGCUUCAAAUGCCUGAAUUUCUGUGCAUGGGAUAAUGAAAUAGACCUCUGUUCUGCUUUCAUUGUUUUCAGAUCAAGAGGUAAUGAUUAAUAGAAGCAGUUUGGGGGAUUAGUAUUACGACGCGAGAGGUGAAAUUCUUGGACCGUCGUAAGACUAACUUAAGCGAAAGCAUUUGCCAAAGAUGUUUUCAUUAAUCAAGAACGAAAGUUAGAGGUUCGAAGGCGAUCAGAUACCGCCCUAGUUCUAACCAUAAACGAUGCCAGCUAGCAAUUGGGUGUAGCUACUUUUAUGGCUCUCUCAGUCGCUUCCCGGGAAACCAAAGCUUUUGGGCUCCGGGGAAGUAUGGUUGCAAAGCUGAAACUUAAAGGAAUUGACGAAGGCACCACCAGGAGUGGAGCCUGCGGCUUAAUUUGACUCAACACGGAAAACUUACCAGGUCCGAACAUAAGUGUGUAAGACGAUUGAUAGCUCUUUCUCGAAUCUAUGGGUGGUGGUGCAUGCCGUUCUUGUUCGUGGAGUGAUUUGUCUGGUUAAUUCCGAUAACGAACGAGACUCAAAUAUAUUAAAUAGAUAUCUCAGAUUAUGGUGCUGAAGCUUAUGUAGCCUUCAUUCAUGUUGGCAGUAAAAUGCUUAUUGUGUUUGAAUGUGUUUAUGUAAGUGGAGCCGUACUGUUGGUUUGUCCCAUUAUAAGGACACUAGCUUUUAAAUGGACAAAUUGCGUCUAGCAAUAAUGAGAUUGAGCAAUAACAGGUCUGUGAUGCCUUAGAUGUCCUGGGCUGCACGCGCGCUACAAUGAAAGUAUCAACGUGUAUUUCCUAGACCGAGAGGUCCGGGUAAACCGCUAACCACUUUAUGCUUGGGAUUGUGAACUGAAACUGUUCACAUGAACUUGGAAUUCCAGUAAGUGUGAGUCAUUAACUCGCAUUGAUUACGUCCCUGCCCUUUGUAACAACCGCCCGUCGCUACUACCGAUUGAAUUAUUUAGUGAGGUCUCCGGCGUGAUCACUGUGACGCCUUGCGUGUUACGGUUGUUUCGCAAAAGUUGACCGAACUUGAUUAUUUAGAGGAAGUAAAAGUUCGUAACAAGGUUUCCGUAGGUGAACCUGCGGAAG
RNAcentral lists this ribosomal RNA (1950 nucleotides) under Drosophila melanogaster (fruit fly). Its description in RNAcentral is "SSU rRNA". It matches the Rfam family "Eukaryotic small subunit ribosomal RNA". The record is from RNAcentral. Lineage: Eukaryota; Metazoa; Arthropoda; Insecta; Diptera; Drosophilidae.